This 2837-nucleotide long non-coding RNA is filed under the name Sus scrofa (pig). Its description in RNAcentral is "lncRNA (ENSSSCG00005037846.1)". The record is from RNAcentral. Lineage: Eukaryota; Metazoa; Chordata; Mammalia; Artiodactyla; Suidae.
CGCUGUCUCUGCAGGGCUUGCAGCAUGGAGGACCACCGGCCAACCCGGGCUUCCCAUGAGCAUCUUGUUCUGAGGAAGGAGGCUCAAGGGGCACAGCUGCCCAUUGGUUCCUCCUUCUGAAUUCCAGCAAAUGAGGAGGAGGAGUCGAAUCAGGAGUGGGUAACAGUCAUUCCCCCUUCAGCAUAAAAGCGGAGGUAGGAGCAGUAUAGACCGCUUAACAGGCAUCUUCAGGCGACUUGCCCAAGCUAAGGUGAGUACCUGGCUGGUUCAGAGCCAGGGGCAGAGCUGGGCACAGCUGAAGCUGAUGGGAAUGUGAAAAGAAGCUGUCUGUACUGCUCACCAACUGGCUCACGAGUUUGCUCUGCCUUCAUUAAUGAAGUAAAAAUUACAUACAGUAAAGUGUAAGAUAUUGCUGACUUUCUCUAUGUAGACAUUCACAUAACCUCCGCAGAUUUGAAAUAUGGAACAUUUUCUAGUCUGCUUUCAAAAAACCUGCCCCACACUUUCUGCUGACCUGAGGAAUAUCCUAGAAAUUGUAUUUCCAUAAAAUUUACUCUCCAUGCUUACUUUAACAAAUGUAAUCUUUAAAUUGUACCCUCUUUAUCAAUGUGAGCAAUCGUUUUAAUUUUUAAGCAUUGAAAAAUUAAUUUUUAAGUUUAAAAAAAUUCAACUUAUCAAGAGGUAGUAUUCUUUCAAAGAAAUGAUUGUCUGUCCUAGGCACUGGCUUCCUUCCUCUUAGAGAGAAAUUAGAAGUUUUCUUUCCCCUUUGGUGACAGCAUCAGAUUUAGAAUUACCUCACCAGUGGAAGGUUUCUCAUCAUUAGUCAACCAGUGACAGUCAGAGCAAAAGAAAUACAUUUUCAAAAGGAAAGCACUUCUCCAGGAAGUGUUUUGUUUGUUUGUUUAGGACACAUUCAGUGUUUUAGAGGAAAACACGUUGGCUUUGUGAAUGGGUAUAUUGUCUUUCCGUAAUGCAAGUGGAAUUCUCAUGCUGAAACAUUUCUCAUUUCUUUAAAUGGCCACACUGGAGGCAUAUGGAAGUUCCUGUGCCAGGGAUUGACUCCAAGCUCCAGCUGCGAUGUGUGCCAGAUCCUUUAACCCACCGUACCUGGCUGGGGAUCAAACCCACACCUCUGCAGUAAACCAAGCCACUUCAGUCAGAUUCUUAACCCACUGCACCACAGCGGGAACUCUGACGCCUGUGCUUGAAGAUCACAUGCAUCGCCAAGCUCGAGAUGAGAACAUGAGAUGACUCAGUGCAAAUCUUUGCCACAACUGGAACCAAGAGCACGUGUGGGACUCUGAGGAGGGCCUUGUCCUCCCCCUGUGCCUGAGUCACGAUCCUCAUGAAUGGACCACUCACCAUGCUGGACGUGGGAGAGUGUGGGUUUCUGUGGGGGAGUGUGUUCUGUAAAAUGGAAAUAUAAGAGAGCCAAACUCAGAAUCAUUUGAAGCCCGGUGAAAAGGAAUCUUAGGUUUUGUGUUUCCUGCCUUGGUAGAAAGAGAUCAGUCAGAGAAAAAAAGUUCAUAUCAAGAAUUUUUUUUUCCUUCAAAACCUGAAACAAACCAACCAUAAGUAAAACAGAGAAUUUCAAGCUUCAACUCAACUUACUUGUUUACUUCCUGUUCAUUCCAGAUUGUCAGGAAAAACAGAUCGUCAAAGUGGUACUCCAUGGUGUAUGUGUACUGAACUGCGUACAAGCCUAUGUCCUUGUGUUUUCAAGCAAAAACCUUUUCAUUUAAGCCUUUAGCCUCCCAGGCCUCAAGAUUUGAAAAUGAGGAAAUACUGAUACAGCUACAAACUAGUUGAAACAGUCUCCAUUAUGCUAGGACUUGCCUUGACCCACUAACUUACUCAAACUAGCCUUUCACAAAUGAUUUCCUCCUUGCUUAAUUGCUUUCUUUUACUAAUGAUUACUUUCUAGUUAAGGUUAUAUUGUAUGCCUAGUGUUUUCUUUUCCUUUGAGACACUCCCUAAGUCCCCAUUCCUUCCAUGAGCCAUCUUCUCUGCAGAGAGAAGGUCAAGGCGAGAUAACCCCAAAGACCACCAGAAACCAUCACUGGACACAUGACUUGAGCCUUGAUGAUUCUGAGGUGGUCUUUGGAGGGAGAAGAAUACAGGCACCUUGAUCCCUAUCAACAGCCCUUUUGUCUUCCAAGCUAAACCUAUAAAAAUCCCUUGCUAUCCCCUCUCAAGAGAGGACACUGUUUUUAGGGCAUUAGCCUGCUGUGGCCUCCUUUGCCUGGCAAAGCAAUAAAGUUGUCCUCUCUACUUCACCCCAAACUCUUGCCUCCAAGUCUUAUUUGAUGCUGGUGUACAGAGGCUGGUUUUCAGCUACAGUAGUACCACAUCUUCUUGAUCCAUUCAGUGGAACACUACUCAGCCAUAAAUAAGAAUGAAAUAAAGCCAUUUGCAGCAACAUGGAUGCAACUAGAUAUUCUCAUACUAAAUGAAGUAAGUUAGAAAGACAAAUAUUAUAUGAUAUCACUUCUGUGUGGAAUCUAAAAUAUGGCACAAAUGAACUUAUCUGCAGAACAGAAACAGAUUCACAGACAUACAGAAUAGACUUGUGGCUGCCAAGGGGAAGGGGGAAGGGAGUGGGAUGGACGGGAAGUUUGGGCUUAGUAGAUGCAACUUUUGCCUUUAGAAUGGAUAAGCAAUGAGGUUCUGCUCUAUAGCACAGGGAACUAUAUCCAAUCUCCUGGGAUAGAACAUGACGGAGGAUAAUGUGAGAAAAAGAAUACAUAUGUGCAUGGCUGGGUAACUUUGCUGUACAGCAGAAAUUGGCACAACAUUGUAAAUCAACUGUACUUUAAUAAAACAAUUUUUAAGAAUGG